AUUAACUGUAACAAAUUUACCUUUAACAAUCAACAAUCAACAAUCAACAAUCAAAAAUCUUUCGUAUGAUUAACAAUUGAAAACAACUUUUCGUUCCACUGUCUUUUUCUCUGUCUACAUUUCGACCAUUGAUUUAAGACAAACAAUCGAAAAGGUAAACAUUUAAAUCAGUUGAAAAUUCAUUUUCUCCACUAAAUCAUGUUAAUCACUUUCUCUCUUAUUCUCUUCUUUAAUUGUGAUUACUUUUAAUUGUUCCUCUUGUUAAAGUGCUUCUUAUAAAGGAUAACAUGUGAUAUAUUUUUCCCUUUGGAAUUAAUAUUUUCUUUCCUAUUCUAAAGGUAAUUUAACCAGAUUAACAAGGUGUAUUCUUUGUUGUAUUAUUGUUAAAGAAAAGCUGAGUAAUUAACGGUAACUUAAUCAGUGAUUUAGUAAUUAUUAUUACCAGCUAUUAACAGACAACCUGAGUAUUCCCAUGUUUAACUACCAAUAAUCCUGACUAACCAACAAUUAAGUUAACCUCAAGUGUUUCCAAUUGGUGGUAUUUACAAUUAAUCGGUGUCAAGCUCACCUGUUAACCUGCCAAAGUCAUCAAGCUAAUUUGCUCCUUAAUCCUUUCUCUUGAUUCAUCUUAAUCUCUUGAUUUGCAAUCAACAUUAUCAUCUCUAUAUUUCUAAAUGAUUGAAGUGACCAUUUCCUUUUCUAACUUGUCCAUCAUCUCUCAAUAUAUUAGAUCACUUUGCUGGUCAUUGGUCAAAGAAAAUCAAAGUGAAUGUUAUUAUCAAACCAGAGAAACACUGAAUGGAUUGAGGAGAGAGAGAGAGAAGAGGAAAUGGAAUAAAAGAAUAUAACUUUUUCUCUUCUUCUAAAUGACCAUUGGACUAAAGUGGACACCAGGAAGAUUGAGAGAUGAAAAGGUGAAAGGUGGUUAUUAAAAAGUGACGAAAAUACUGGAUCAAGGAAAAGAUAAUACAUAAUAUAAGAUUGGAAUUGACAUGUUGUUGCUUUAGUAAUUCAACGAGAAGAAUGGAAGAAAAUUUCCUGGGACAGAAUUUGAUGGAAAACAUGAUGAAAACUCUUCUUUCCAUAUAUUCUCGGUGUGUCUCAUUCUUAUCCCUCAAUAACAUGAUCAUCACCACCACCAAGAAAUUCACCUUCAUCACUUGAAAUACUUUAUCCAUCUUCUUAUUAUUAUAACAAGAAGAUCAUCACCAACUCAUUCAAUUUUUUUUCUCUCUCUCUCUCUCUUCCCAAUCCCAUGAAACUGUCUCUUCAAGUGUCUCUCAUUUAAUAUCAGAUCAUCUGAUUUUCUGAGAAUCUUCAACGUCAACCUUUUGAAGUUUAUGAUUUGCUAACCUAACGGAUGUGGAACUCAAAGGAAAAACCAUUAUCGAGUAUAUUAUUACAUCGAAGUGUAAUAUUGCCUGAUAUUCCUUUCAACUGUGAUACAUAUAUACAAGAAACUCCCUUUGAAGAGAGAGAGAGAGAGAGAGAGGAAGGAGAAGAUGAAAAAAAGUAUUAUAUGGAUCAAUGAUAAACAUGGUAAAAGUUGAUCUGAAAUUCUUGCUACAUCAAUCAUCAAAUUCCCGAAAGGUUAACCAAUAUAAGGCCACAGGUUAAAUUUCAUAAGGCACAUUACGAUGAGUGUGUUAACCGUUAUAUUUGCAUAUAAACGAGAAAUUAUAUUUUUCCCUCCAACGAGUUGGAUUCAUCGUGGUUCUGUCAAUUGAUAGUUUCCAUUUGAGAUUCAUGAUUAUGGUUAUUGGAUAAAAUCAAAUUAAGGAUUAAGAUUGAAUUGGACUCAUUUUAAAUUCAAAUGGACUGAAAAAUCAUUGGAUGAACAUGAUUAAACUUUACCGGUUGAGGAAAAAGUUAAAUGGUUCAAGGAUAUGAUUUCCCUUUGGUUUCAAGUUAAAUAUCACCACGGAGAGAGAAAAGGGAGAAAGUGAUCAAUUAAUGAGUUUGUUGUUUUCAUCAUGGAAAUUAUUAUGAUGCUUGAAUUACCUAUUGGCUAGUUGACUGACCAUGAAUUAAUGAAUCAUUCGUUUCAAUUCCUUUGACAAUUGCCUGAUCUCUUAUCCCUCUUUUCCGCUCUUAUCCUUUUUAGUCAGUUCUAAAUGAUGAGUUUAUCAUGCAAACUCUUGUAAUGGAAAGUGAAAAGAUGAUGAUUAUGAACAUCAUCAUCAUCAUCAUCAACACCUACAAUAUCCAUAAUAUUGAUCACCAUCAUCAUCACUACCUUCAAUUAGUUAACUUUAAUUUCAUCAUCAAACAAACUCUUUGCAUGGCGGAUAUACAAGUUCAAGAAUUGACAGUUAAUUUAGUAUUCUAUUAAUCGUAAUGGACAAAAUGUCGCAGACUACGGAUAUUUAUUGAUUGGUUAAAUUACUUUACAACGACAAGAACUAUUUUGUUUUUGAUCCUCGAAAGGAAGGAAAAUGUCCAAGUAACAAAAAAAAAUUUCUAUUCUUUUUUUUGUUGUAAUGAUGUUUUCGAAAUAUACCUUUUGAAGAUACACAAAGAAUGAUAGAGAUAAAAACAUCAUGUCAUAAUCAUGAUGAUGAUGAGAAUAUCAUGAUGACAAUGAUUGUAUUGUUUUUCUCUGCAGUUUUCCUUUAAUGACCAAGAGUAAAGCGUAAAUUCAAGUAUUGGGGAAAAGUGAUGAGGAUAAACAAGACACCAAAGAUACCAAAGGAAAAAUUAUUUGAAACUUCACUCAGGGUGAAGAGGAAGAUGAUGAAAGAAGGAUGAAAACAAGAUGACAAAUGAAAUCCAGCAACUUGGAUGCCUUGUUGAUUUUUUUUGUUGAUUCAUUGGAUCCAUCGACCGAUCAAGUGGAAAAUUAAUCCAUUCUACCUGGCUUGGUUUCUUUCAAUCAGUCUUCACAAACACACACACACACUCACACAUUCACACAACACUUACAGUAAACAAAAAUGUGACGAAAUUUAUUUACAUUUGAUCAUUGAUCCAAAGAUGAUGAGGAUGGAGAUAGAAAGAUGAAACAAGCGGAUGGAUCAAGAGAGAGAGAGCGAGAAAAGAAACAAGAUGAAACAUUGAAGAGAAGAUGAAAGUACAAGUGUAUCCAAUGAAAGAAAAGAAAGAGAAACUAAAUGUUCACCAUGGUGAUGAUGAUGAUGAUAAUUAUGUGAAGACAAUAGUAUAUCAAAGUUUGGAAUUACUCGAAAAAAAACUGGACAAAGAACGAGAAAAGUUUCAUCGACCAAAAUGGAAACAGCUUAUGGAAACAUAGAAUAAUGAAUUUCGAGAAAGAUUCUGAACCAUUUUCGGUGUAACAAUUUACUUUUUUCUCGUUUCUUCCUAAAAGAUUCACCUUCAUGAUGAUCAGUGAUGUUUACUCAGUAUUCGGGAUGAAGAUGAUACCACAAGAGUGAGAGAGAGAGAGAGAGAGAGAGAGAGAGAGAGAGAGAGAGAGAGAGAUGGAAACAAUAACAAUAUUUUAAUGGAUGAUAAUCAGUUGAAUUUCAUCAACAUUUAACAUUAUCAUGGUGCUGAUG
This is a long non-coding RNA of Panonychus citri (citrus red mite), 3515 nucleotides long. RefSeq lists it as uncharacterized. NCBI's taxonomy places the organism in Eukaryota, Metazoa, Arthropoda, Arachnida, Trombidiformes, Tetranychidae. The transcript is spliced from 5 exons. The record is from RefSeq and is a predicted model, not a curated record.